CUUCUUCGCAUAUCAACAGUUGAACAGGUGAUGACGUUUUUUGUAGUUUUGUUCCCGGAGGAGGAUGACUUUGUGGCAGCAGUUCCACGCCAGAUGGACUAACCGUCACGUUACCAGACGGGACAUCGGCGGUGUGCGGACCUGAAACCACACGCAAAGGGCAGUACCUGGUACAACCGGUGAAGGGUGAAAUAGCGGAGAUAUACUGGGGACUAUUGACAGCGGAAAAGCCGGACAAACAGGGAAUUUUGUCCCAGUACUUCAAGUGGAGGCCGUGGAUCUCCCUCCUCGAGCCGUACUUUCCUCCGCCAGACCCCCCCACAUGUAACCCUAUUUUAUGAUCGGCAGGGCGAUGAGGUGUAUAGAGAGGGGUUUGGGGGUGUAGUGUGUGGGGACACGUGGCAGGUCGGGUCUAAAUUCAUAUAUGUAGGCCCUGAAGGGGUAGCGGCAGAUGUACAGUUGACAGAGGAGCAGGAUCAGUGGUACAUGAUGGCGGAGGAGUCCGUCCCACAUGUGUCACUGGCCCUGCAUCCUAAACACCAAGCGAAAGACCUGGGGCCCAUGGUUAAAAGGGCGGUCGAAUGCACUGAUUGGACACUCACUUAGGCGCCAAACGUAUGGUACUCACCCAGCUGUAAGACGUAUCAGUUAGAGGCACCAGGGACGGAUUGGGUAUAUUUAGAGCGAAGGGAGAUAACUCGGGAUCAUGGGAGGGAAAAGAUGGAUCACCCUGUAGCCACAGCCAGACUUAAUGAGUUACCUGACUCACUGUGGUCCAAGGGCCCCACGGACGUGGGGCUCACCGAUUGCCCACCGGUCACCUUUAAAAUCGGACCGGGAGAGCCCAUAUGGCUGCCCCAAUACCCACACAAACCAGAGGCAGAGGAAGGGUUGGAUGUGACAUUGAAUGGUUUGUGGCCCACAGGGGUGUUAGAGGAGUCAGGUUCCGCGUGGAACACGCCUAUCCUCCCGGUAGAAAAGAAA
Molecule: long non-coding RNA, 984 nt
Organism: Esox lucius (northern pike)
Lineage: Eukaryota; Metazoa; Chordata; Actinopteri; Esociformes; Esocidae
Source: Ensembl